UAUAGGUGCUAGGACAGAAGGUAAAAUA
RNAcentral lists this non-coding RNA (28 nucleotides) under Mus musculus (house mouse). The record is from RNAcentral. Lineage: Eukaryota; Metazoa; Chordata; Mammalia; Rodentia; Muridae.